Molecule: ribosomal RNA, 660 nt
Filed under: uncultured bacterium
Lineage: Bacteria
Description: bacterial SSU rRNA
Rfam family: Bacterial small subunit ribosomal RNA
Source: RNAcentral
GAGUGGCGCACGGGUGAGUAACACGUAGGUAAUCUACCUUUGGGUGGGGAAUAACAGCCGGAAACGGCUGCUAAUACCGCAUAAUGCAGACAUCGAGACAGUUGUUAAAGCGGGGGAUCGCAAGACCUCGCGCCUAAAGAGGAGCCUGCGGCGGAUUAGCUAGUUGGUAAGGUAAUGGCUUACCAAGGCAUCGAUCCGUAGCCGGCCUGAGAGGGCGGUCGGCCACACUGACACUGACAUACGGGUCAGACUCCUACGGGAGGCAGCAGUCGGGAAUUUUGGGCAAUGGGCGCAAGCCUGACCCAGCAACGCCGCGUGAAGGAUGAAAUCCCUCGGGAUGUAAACUUCGCAAGAACAGGAAGAAUAAGUAGGGGACAAUACCCCCUAUGAUGACGGUACUGUUUGUAAGCUCCGGCUAACUCCGUGCCAGCAGCCGCGGUAAUACGGGGGGAGCAAGCGUUGUUCGGAUUUACUGGGCGUAAAGGGCGCGUAGGCGGUCGCGACAAGUCACUUGUGAAAUCUCCGGGCUUAACUCGGAAAGGUCAAGUGAUACUGUCGGACUAGAGUGCAGAAGGGGCAACUGGAAUUCUCGGUGUAGCGGUGAAAUGCGUAGAUAUCGAGAGAAACACCUGCGGCGAAGGCGGGUUGCUGGGCUGACAC